RNAcentral lists this ribosomal RNA (305 nucleotides) under uncultured bacterium. RNAcentral describes it as "bacterial SSU rRNA". It matches the Rfam family "Bacterial small subunit ribosomal RNA", at positions 335 to 637 of the family's 1533-position model. The record is from RNAcentral.
UUCCCUACGGGGGGCAGCAGUGAGGAAUAUUGGUCAAUGGCCGGAAGGCUGAACCAGCCAAGUCGCGUGAGGGAAUAAGGCCCUAUGGGUCGUAAACCUCUUUUGUCAGGGAGCAAAGGCGUCCACGUGUGGACGAGAGGAGAGUACCUGAAGAAAAAACAUCGGCUAACUCCGUGCCAGCAGCCGCGGUAAUACGGAGGAUGCGAGCGUUAUCCGGAUUUAUUGGGUUUAAAGGGUGCGUAGGCGGUCCGGAAAGUCAGCGGUAAAAGCCCGGGGCUCAACCCCGGCGAGCCGUGGAAACUGGC